GACGAACGCUGGCGGCGUGCUUAACACAUGCAAGUCGAACGGAAGGGCCCUGCUUUUGUGGGGUGCUCGAGUGGCGAACGGGUGAGUAACACGUGAGUAACCUGCCCUUGUCUUUGGGAUAACUUCAGGAAACUGGGGCUAAUACCGGAUAGGAGCUCCUGCUGCAUGGUGGGGGAUGGAAAGUUUCGGCGGUUGGGGAUGGACUCGCGGCUUCUGAGCUGGUUGGUGGGGUUGUUACUUACACAGGUUUGGACGGGUAGCCGGCCUGGGAGGGUGACCGGCCCCAUGCGCCCACGGAAGCGCCCAGACGCCUACGGGAGGCAGUGGUGGGGAAUAUUGCACAAUGGGCGGACGCCUGAUGCAGCAACGCCGCGUGCGGGAUGACGGCCUACGGGUUGUAAACCGCUUUCGCCUGUGACGAAGCGUGAGUGACGGUAAUGGGUAAAGAAGCACCGGCUAACUACGUG
RNAcentral lists this ribosomal RNA (467 nucleotides) under uncultured bacterium. RNAcentral's name for it is "partial 16S ribosomal RNA". It matches the Rfam family "Bacterial small subunit ribosomal RNA", at positions 28 to 507 of the family's 1533-position model. The record is from RNAcentral.